Long non-coding RNA from Penaeus monodon (black tiger shrimp), 162 nucleotides. RefSeq lists it as uncharacterized. The transcript has 3 exons. The record is from RefSeq and is a predicted model, not a curated record. Lineage: Eukaryota; Metazoa; Arthropoda; Malacostraca; Decapoda; Penaeidae.
AAAAAAACGUGAAUUCAUUCCCCUCAAAAAGCGACUGGAGAUGCAGCAGACUGGGGGAAGGUCUCCUCGCCGUGUAGAGGACCAUUUGCCAGAACCCUCUGAUAAUGUUUGGUUCACAAAGUACUACAAGUGGAAGGUGUAUAGUGUAUGCGAUGCUAUUGC